This is a long non-coding RNA of Polyodon spathula (Mississippi paddlefish), 1529 nucleotides long. RefSeq lists it as uncharacterized. The transcript has 2 exons. The record is from RefSeq and is a predicted model, not a curated record. NCBI's taxonomy places the organism in Eukaryota, Metazoa, Chordata, Actinopteri, Acipenseriformes, Polyodontidae.
AUUUAAAGCAACGUCGGCCAUUAUCCAGCCUGGAGAGACACCACAUAAAGAAACGUUGUCGACUUGCAAUAUCGAUUAAGGAUGUAGGGACACCAUAAGCAGUGUGAAUGGGACUAAUUUGACUUGGCAAGUCUGCAUCAUGCUUAGAUUGUUUUGGACAGGUAAGUGACCAUUUCUAAAAGCUAACCUCUUAAUGCUAAUUUGUGUUGGAUGGAUGCAGAAUCACCUGCCAAUUGAACAGUGAUCAUUUGCUUCCUAUCGGCACCUGUCAAAUGUGGCUAAAACUCUCUUGAAAUAUAGAUAUACAGCUUUUAUAUAGUACAGAACACAACACAGUCACCCUUAUUAAAUCAAGGUGGUCCUACAGCAUAUUGACAGUGUUAUGGCAGGUGUUUCCGUUUUGAUUUGGUGUACAGUAACAAUUUCAGUGGAUUUGCCACAUUUAAUGUAAUUUAUAUUAUUUUUUAGGUUUAGCAUAUGAGAUGCUACCUACGUAAUAUACAUUUUUAUGUUCCUUUAUUUGUAGAAUAUCUGGGUAAAGUCUUCAUAUCCAAGGCAAUUUCUUUUAGGGUUAGGGUUGUUUGAUUUUAUUUUAUUUUUUUUUUAAAUAUAUAUAGUGUCCCAGACAUGAAUCGGGGUUUAUUUCAAAUCUCUGAAUAUCAUAUAUUUUCCUAUUUUGUUUCCUUAAGUAUCGUAGGGCAUGCUGGCAGGGAAAAAGCCAAGAUGUUUAUAUCCAUAUUUUAAUUGUUUUGUUAACUUGUAUUGUAGUUACUAAUGGUACCAGAUAGUACUAGAAGUUUAGAUCUGUAAUAAUGAAGUAAAACGCUUCAGGCAAGUUUCACAUACCCCGAUUAGCAUUCAUCUUGGACUACUUUACCUAAAUAUUAUAUAGUUCAACACUAGUGCUAAUCUGGGUCUGUGAAAUCAGACCUUUAUGAUCCAGGGUUACAUCUAAACCCCCCUCCCUCCCUAAUUUGUUUUGCAUUGUAUAUGGUAUCUGUAUUUUCUUGUAUUUGAGGGGUGCCAGUGUGUGGGUUAAUGAAAUGUAAAGUAUCAGCAUAGAAAAUACUCCUACACUUGAGUUCCUUUUGCUUUCUAUACCAUCUGGGUCUAUGUAGGUCUGCCCUGUGGUAUAUCGGUAGUUUUAAUAGUAGGAUUGGCUUUCUUUGGCAUCUUGAAGUUUGAAACUGUUCAGAGUUCAUCUUUUAAGGUGUUUUUUUUUUUUUUUUUUUCAGUAUUUCUUUGUACUGGAUUUAAAUAUUGCAUCUUGUUAUAAAAACCUCCCUUUUCCAUUUACAGUCUGUUGGUGUGACUUAAUACAGGUUCAUGUAUUGUAAUUGUGUAUUAGGAAUCCUGUAAUUUUAAAAAGAAAAAAUGUUGCAAAGUUAAAACUAAUCCACUCAGGUUGAUUUUAAGAGUCUUUUUAAAGGGGUAUAGCUAAUAACGUAAUAAAUCUUACCUGUAGAUGUAGAUAUUUUGAAAGCUUGUAUAGCAAAAGUGUGUUAAUAAAAAAAGAUUAAGUGCCUUAA